GAAAAAUUAGUUAAAAUAUAACAUUAUCUUGUCAAGAUAAAAUUAUUUAUAAAAAUAUUUUUCU
RNAcentral lists this transfer RNA (64 nucleotides) under Validiblatta brunnea (brown cockroach). Its description in RNAcentral is "tRNA-Asp". The record is from RNAcentral. Lineage: Eukaryota; Metazoa; Arthropoda; Insecta; Blattodea; Blattidae. RNAcentral also lists the same sequence under 1 other name.